Molecule: transfer RNA, 55 nt
Organism: Ovis aries (sheep)
Lineage: Eukaryota; Metazoa; Chordata; Mammalia; Artiodactyla; Bovidae
Rfam family: tRNA
About the family: Transfer RNA (tRNA) molecules are approximately 80 nucleotides in length.
Source: Rfam
UGUCUGAUGGUAAAGAAUCUGCCUGCAAUGCAGGAGACCCAGGUUCAAUCCCUGG